AUAAUUUGAGACUCCAACAUGUAUUACACAACAAAAUUAUAAUUGAAGUGUCAUCCCAUUUGAAAAUAAACAUUCAGAAGAAGCAAAUACGUAACCAUCCCAAAAUAAGGAUUAUGUAUUUGAACCUCAAGCAGAUGUCUAAUUAGUCUGGUCUCAUCAGACUCCUGAGUAAAAAUUUCCCAUUUCUAAGACUGAUUCCAUUUGAAGGGACCCUUUUGUAUAAUGCUUUAAGGGAAACACAAAUAUCUGCCCCUUUUUUUCAAUCGCCGGGCCAAUUUUAUAAUAAUUGGAUACUUGUCCCCCAAACAUUUCAAACCCUUAUUUCUCCCUUUUCCCUUUUGGCACAGAGUCGGGAAUAUUGUACCCCAAUCACCUGUGGGCUUCAUAUCCACCUUGAAUGUGAAGGCUAAGCCACGAGGCCAGAACAGCACUCUGCAAGUUGCAGAAUAGGUUUUCGCAUUUAAGUGGUUUACCGCAAAGUUAUUUGUGUGUACCAAUGGUGAUACGCACAAACUACAUCAUGGAAUCGACCCAAAAGCCCACUGCCUCGGGAGAAGAAUAGAAUUCCCUUGUGCCAAUAUGCACACAGCAUUUGAAUGUGUGUUACCCUCCCAAUCUUAUCUUUCUGUAGAUAUAUGCAACUGCUGAAAAAAGUAAUGACCAACAGAUUUUCUACAACAAUCAAAGCAAUCAUGACUUGGAAUGAGAAGGUAACAUUUCCUCGGUAAGAUCAGACUUGCAAAAAAUGAAUCGACUUUGCAUUUACUAUUGCAGCAAAGAUUGAACAGCAAUAUGUAUAGCAAAUUAACACUAGCAAGCUGACAUGGGCUGUCGCAUGAAAUAAUAAAAUGUUCACAGCCAACAAAGGCUCUACCUCAACUGUAGUUAUCAUCAUUAAUCCAUGUUAUCUCAGAGGACCACCACAUCUGAUUAGCAAGCAAAGCAUAAUUGACCUCACGCAAUUCCACAAAGGAUAAAAACAAGGCAUUAACGUGUUUGCACUUGAUGAUCAGGCAAACAUGGUAGAGUUGCUUAUGCAGCUUCAGUGCCCUUCUAUGAGAUUUUUAGAAGAAAACUUUUCUGUCUGCCCCAUAGAUGCUCCAACUUUAAUCAAGUAUUUGCUCGUUUCUGGUUUAGCUUUCUAGAAUGAGGCAAACUCAAAAAGUUCAGUCUUUCGUAUUUUUUUCUUGCUAUUGGUCAAUGGUUUUCACGUCAAACUCCAUAAAGUGGUAGGAAAGUUUUGACAAAUGAGUAUGCAAGUGCACCCGUGAAAAUGUAGCUGUCCACUCGGUCCAGUAUUCCACCUGCACGCCAAUAUUAGAGAAUAAAAAAAGUGGUAUUUAACUCAAAUGCAUGAUAGACAAGGAUACCAAUUAAAGAUCAAAAAUAUACCACAAGGGAAAAAAAAGUUUUAUCGGUGUAUUGGCCCAGUCUGUCAACUUAUUGUCCAACGGUCAAACAAGGUAGCAGAAUUCACAUUAUAGAACAAGACUAAAAUGUCUUAAGGAUGUAUGCAAAACUAUAAUGGAUUAAAUCACCUUACAUUAUCAGCCUGACAAAUAAAUUGAUAAAGAACAAGCUUUCACAAAGAGCAAAUCCAGUACUGAUACUUUUUAUCUUUAACAUGUUAAAAAGAAUGGUCAUGCUAGCCUGCAGGCAGGACUUGUUUCCAAAGAAAAAGUACCUGAUCAUUCCAUUUUAAUCUUUGAUUUUCAGGUGUUUGAAUCGGCAAGUCAGGAGCAUCAUAUAGAACAAAAAAGAGGGAGUACACUACAAAGGCACAUUCACAUCCACCAUAGUCCUUUCAUACAAAAAAAAUUUUGAAGAGGAGAUGGUGAAGAAAAGAAAAUCAGUACCACUGCAUUUUCUCUAACUGUUUACCCUUCAACCUAACAUUUGCCUUUAUCCUUUCAUUGCCAAGUACCUGGAGUUAGCAUGUUCAUCUCCAUGCCUCCUCUUCUGAAGACAUUUCUUUUUGCGUGUUUUCUCUAGUUUCAUUCAUCAAUAGAAUUGGAGCACAUACAACAGGGCCUUGUUUAGGGUUUUAAAUUAUAUUCAGAAAGUAUACUAAGAACAUUGGAACACAGACAAAAUUCAGGGUUCUAGUAACCCUAAUUAAUCACCUCUCCCUUUUCUCUGGGCACGGGUGUUACGAAGCAGAGUUUUGAAGACCCAAACCGUGUCCAGGUAUGAGAGAACCAGAGUCCUUGACACCUGCAUCUCGUUUGAUCAUUGAUUCCGUAAGAUCACCAAAUAUUGACCCAAAGAAAUUCAGAAACCCAAAAGCUAUUGCACUUAGCAAUGAUGUUGGCCAGGACAAAAUCUUUGAUAGUAUCACAGAAGUUGCUAUACAGCCACCCAAGCCUGCAAUAGUCCCUUCCCAUGUCUUCUUUGGACUAAUACUAGUUAAUGGUGUCCUCCCAAAUGCCUUGCCACCUAUAAAAGCAAACGUAUCAGCAGCUAUGAUGCAGCUAAAACAAAUCAGGGUUGCCACAAGGCCCACAGUCCAAUGAGCUUGGCCUCCAAAAAGAACAGGCCAUAAUGCUCCUAUU
RNAcentral lists this unclassified non-coding RNA (2552 nucleotides) under Hevea brasiliensis (rubber tree). Lineage: Eukaryota; Viridiplantae; Streptophyta; Magnoliopsida; Malpighiales; Euphorbiaceae. The record is from RNAcentral.